This 132-nucleotide small nucleolar RNA is filed under the name Arabidopsis halleri subsp. gemmifera. Its description in RNAcentral is "snoRNA snoR77". It matches the Rfam family "Small nucleolar RNA snoR77". The record is from RNAcentral. Lineage: Eukaryota; Viridiplantae; Streptophyta; Magnoliopsida; Brassicales; Brassicaceae.
AAUCGAUUGUUUUUCAUGCACACACACUUAACAAUAUUACAUGAUAAACUGUCCUAGAUCAAAUUAUGCUUCUGCUCAGACUUGCUGAGAUUUUAUUGUCUUUGAAGCUGGUGUAGUAGUCUAAAGCACAUU